AAAUAGAUCUUGGCGUUAUGGG
RNAcentral lists this microRNA (22 nucleotides) under Brachypodium distachyon (stiff brome). RNAcentral describes it as "bdi-miR7764-3p". The record is from miRBase by way of RNAcentral. Lineage: Eukaryota; Viridiplantae; Streptophyta; Magnoliopsida; Poales; Poaceae.